RNAcentral lists this ribosomal RNA (633 nucleotides) under Pinnotherelia laevigata. RNAcentral describes it as "partial 16S ribosomal RNA". It matches the Rfam family "Bacterial large subunit ribosomal RNA", at positions 1831 to 2720 of the family's 2925-position model. Lineage: Eukaryota; Metazoa; Arthropoda; Malacostraca; Decapoda; Varunidae. The record is from RNAcentral.
GUCUAUUUGGAGUUAUAAGAAGUUUAACCUGCCCACUGAUAAAUAAAUAUUGAAUGGCCGCGGUAUCUUGACCGUGCAAAGGUAGCAUAAUCGUUAGUUUUUUAAUUGGAAUCUUGUAUGAAUGGUUGGACAAAAGAAAGUCUGUCUUUAUAUUGAUUGUUGAACUUAACUUUUGAGUGAAAAGGCUUAAAUGUAUUGAAGGGACGAUAAGACCCUAGAAAGCUUAAUAUUAAGAUUUUAUUUAGUUAAAUUUUACAUUAUAAAAACUUAGUAAUUAAAUUUAUUUUAUUGGGGCGAUAAGAGUAAAAUGACUAUUAACUGCUUAAUUUUAAAUUCAUUAUAGAUGAUUAAAUUUUUAAAUGAUCCUAGUUGAAGAUUAAAAGUUCAAGUUACUUUAGGGAUAACAGCGUUAUUUUUUUUAAGAGUACUUAUCGAAAAAAAAGUUUGCGACCUCGAUGUUGAAUUAAAAUGUCUUUAUAAUUGCAGCAGUUAUAAUAGUAGGUCUGUUCGACCUUUAAAAUUUUACAUGAUUUGAGUUCAAACCGGCGUGAGCCAGGUUGGUUUCUAUCGUUUGAUAGAUAAAAAAAUAUUUUAGUACGAAAGGAUUAAAUAAUUAAAAUUGUUUUGAAUAUG